This 612-nucleotide unclassified non-coding RNA is filed under the name Boyania colombiana. RNAcentral describes it as "partial external transcribed spacer". Lineage: Eukaryota; Viridiplantae; Streptophyta; Magnoliopsida; Myrtales; Melastomataceae. The record is from RNAcentral.
UCUAGCAGGCUAUUUCGGGUCACAUUUCGAUCCUCCGGCGGCCACUCCUCGAGGAGUCGUCGUCGGAUCGUUCGGUGUGUCUCGUCUUGCGAUGGGACGGCGCAUGAGUGGCGAUCGGGAUAUGUUUCUCGUGCAGGCUCCAUGCUUCUGGCAUCGAACUGCUUGGGCGUAUCUUCUUCAUUUGUGGGCUCGCCUCGGCGUUUCGAGGGUCGGUUGCGGCCACUCCGUUGGGUUCCUGUGCUCGAUAUUGAAUUCGGCAGUUGGAUGGAUUGCUAUUCCCCGUCGCGGUUUGUCGUUCCCACCCGCCUCGCGCGGCGUUGGUGGUUAUCGCGCGGGCAUCGACGUUUACCUUCCGAGCCGUUGUCCCCUUUACGUCGCUACCGCUCGUGAUGGCUCGUCGAUGCUACCGGCUCUCUCGGGUACGGAGAUUUUCUGGCUGUCGCGCUGGUCCGCGACCUUUGUGAGCGUAACGUUUCGAAGCAUUCUUGCUUCUGCAUGUACGACCCUCGUUCUCCUCCGGGGGCUCACCGAGCCGCUUCGUUCGGUGUUCUUCUCGGGGAGCCGUCGAGGUCUACAACGGAAUGCUACCUGGUUGAUCCUGCCAGUAGUCAA